UUGCUUUGGCAGCAUAGAUACUAAGAUCAGAAUAUUCAGACAAGGUUAGCAUGGCCCUGUGCAAGGCUGACAUGCAAAUUUGUGAAGUAUUCCCCUGAAAA
RNAcentral lists this small nuclear RNA (101 nucleotides) under Cavia porcellus (domestic guinea pig). The record is from RNAcentral. Lineage: Eukaryota; Metazoa; Chordata; Mammalia; Rodentia; Caviidae.